This 468-nucleotide ribosomal RNA is filed under the name uncultured bacterium. RNAcentral describes it as "partial 16S ribosomal RNA". It matches the Rfam family "Bacterial small subunit ribosomal RNA", at positions 28 to 507 of the family's 1533-position model. The record is from RNAcentral.
GACGAACGCUGGCGGCGUGCUUAACACAUGCAAGUCGAACGGAAAGGCCCUGCUUUUGUGGGGUGCUCGAGUGGCGAACGGGUGAGUAACACGUGAGUAACCUGCCCUUGACUUUGGGAUAACUUCAGGAAACUGGGGCUAAUACCGGAUAGGAGCUCCUGCUGCAUGGUGGGGGUUGGAAAGUUUCGGCGGUUGGGGAUGGACUCGCGGCUUAUCAGCUUGUUGGUGGGGUAGUGGCUUACCAAGGCUUUGACGGGUAGCCGGCCUGAGAGGGUGACCGGCCACAUUGGGACUGAGAUACGGCCCAGACUCCAACGGGAGGCAGCAGUGGGGAAGAUUGCACAAUGGGCGGAAGCCUGAUGCAGCAACGCCGCGUGCGGGAUGACGGCCUUCGGGUUGUAAACCGCUUUCGCCUGUGACGAAGCGUGAGUGACGGUAAUGGGUAAAGAAGCACCGGCUAACUACGUG